ACCUGGCUGGCUCAGUUGGUAGAGCAUGCCACUCUUGAUCUCAGGGAUGUGAGUUUGAGCCCCAUGUCGGGUG
This 73-nucleotide transfer RNA is filed under the name Ailuropoda melanoleuca (giant panda). It matches the Rfam family "tRNA". Rfam says of the family: Transfer RNA (tRNA) molecules are approximately 80 nucleotides in length. Their secondary structure includes four short double-helical elements and three loops (D, anti-codon, and T loops). Lineage: Eukaryota; Metazoa; Chordata; Mammalia; Carnivora; Ursidae. The record is from Rfam by way of RNAcentral.